CGCGUAGGAAUCUACCUGGUAGUGGGGGACAACUCGGGGAAACUCGAGCUAAUACCGCAUACGCCCUACGGGGAAAGACGGGGAGUCUUCGGACCUCGCGCUAUUGGAUGAGCCUGCGUCGGAUUAGCUUGUUGGUGGGGUAAAGCCUACCAAGGCGACGAUCCGUAGCUGGUCUGAGAGGACGAUCAGCCACACUGGGACUGAGACACGGCCCAGACUCCUACGGGAGGCAGCAGUGGGGAAUAUUGCGCAAUGGGGGAAACCCUGACGCAGCCAUGCCGCGUGUGUGAAGAAGGCCCU
This 300-nucleotide ribosomal RNA is filed under the name uncultured Alteromonadales bacterium. RNAcentral's name for it is "bacterial SSU rRNA". It matches the Rfam family "Bacterial small subunit ribosomal RNA", at positions 114 to 418 of the family's 1533-position model. The record is from RNAcentral. Lineage: Bacteria; Pseudomonadati; Pseudomonadota; Gammaproteobacteria; Alteromonadales.